Molecule: ribosomal RNA, 158 nt
Filed under: uncultured eukaryote
Lineage: Eukaryota
Description: partial 18S ribosomal RNA
Rfam family: Eukaryotic small subunit ribosomal RNA
Source: RNAcentral
UGGUGGAUUGAUUUGUCUGGUUUAUUCCGUUAACGAACGAGACCUUAACCUAUUAAAUAGGGAAUAGAUUUUCUUCUUAAUUAAAAGAGAAAUCGAAAGUUUUAUUCUUCUUAAAGGGACAUUUCAUGUUUAAUGAAUGGAAGAUUGAGGCAACAACA